GACGAACGCUGGCGGCGUGCCUAAUACAUGCAAGUAGGACGCACAGUCUAUACCGUAGCUUGCUACACCAUAGGCUGUGAGUUGCGAACGGGUGAGUAACGCGUAGGUAACCUGCCUAUUAGAGGGGGAUAACUAUUGGAAACGAUAGCUAAUACCGCAUAACAGUAUGUAACACAUGUUAGAUGCUUGAAAGAUGCAAUUGCAUCGCUAGUAGAUGGACCUGCGUUGUAUUAGCUAGUAGGUAGGGUAAUGGCCUACCUAGGCGACGAUACAUAGCCGACCUGGGAGGGUGAUCGGCCACACUGGGACUGGGACACGGCCCAGACUCCUACGGGAGGCAGCAGUAGGGGAUCUUCGGCAAUGGGGGGAACCCUGACCGAGCAACGCCGCGUGAGUGAAGAAGGUUUUCGGAUCGUAAAGCUCUGUUGUUAAGGAAGAACGAGUGUGAGAAUGGAAAGUUCAUACUGUGACGGUACUUAACCAGAAAGGGACGGCUAACUACGUG
This 505-nucleotide ribosomal RNA is filed under the name uncultured bacterium. RNAcentral's name for it is "partial 16S ribosomal RNA". It matches the Rfam family "Bacterial small subunit ribosomal RNA", at positions 28 to 507 of the family's 1533-position model. The record is from RNAcentral.